UGUCUCUCAGGGUCACAUCUGGAGAAUUCCUAGUACUUUACCAGUCUUGGCUAUGGAAGGGAGAGUCAAGCAGGGGCAUACCCAUUCCAUUCCUAGCUUGGGCAGUGCCUAGCGAGCGGAAGACAUUCUGCUACAAGU
Tachyglossus aculeatus (Australian echidna) is the source of this 138-nucleotide small nucleolar RNA. The record is from RefSeq and is a predicted model, not a curated record. Lineage: Eukaryota; Metazoa; Chordata; Mammalia; Monotremata; Tachyglossidae.